Molecule: ribosomal RNA, 289 nt
Filed under: Giardia duodenalis
Lineage: Eukaryota; Fornicata; Diplomonadida; Hexamitidae
Description: Giardia intestinalis partial small subunit ribosomal RNA
Source: RNAcentral
CAUCCGGUCGAUCCUGCCGGAAUCCGACGCUCUYCCCAAGGACACAAGCCAUGCAUGCCCGCGCACCCGGGAGGCGGCGGACGGCUCAGGACAACGGUUGCACCCCCCGCGRCGGUCCCUGCUAGCCGGACACCGCUGGCAACCCGGCGCCAAGACGUGCGCGCAAGGGCGGGCGCCCGCGGGCGAGCAGCGUGACGCAGCGACGGCCCGCCCGGGCUUCCGGGGCAUCACCCGGUCGGCGCGGUCGCGGCGCGCCGAGGGCCCGACGCCUGGCGGAGAAUCAGGGUUC